UAACCUGCCCGGUGAAUUUUUUUAAACGGCCGCGGUAUCUUGACCGUGCAAAGGUAGCAUAAUCAAUUGUCUUAUAAUUGAAGACUGGAAUGAAUGGUUGAAUGAAAUAAAAGCUGUCUUAUUUAUAUUUGUUAGAAAUUGGCUUUUAAAUGAAGAGAUUUAAAUAUAAUUGAUAGACAAGAAGAACCUAUUGAGCUUAAAGUGAUUUUGAAGAUAUGUUUUAUUAUUAAAAUAUAAGUUUUUAAAUUCUUUUAGUUGGGGCGACUAAGGAGUAGAAGAAGCUUCCUUUAAUAUAAGAACUAUUAAGUUUUGAUCCGAUAAAAUUGAUUGAAAGAGAUAGUUACCAUAGGGAUAACAGCAUAAUCUUCUUUGAGAGUUCAUAUCGAAAAGGGGGUUUGUGACCUCGAUGUUGGACUAAAAUAUACCUAUAAAUGCACGCCUGUAUAAGGUUGG
This 453-nucleotide ribosomal RNA is filed under the name Taia polyzonata. RNAcentral's name for it is "partial 16S ribosomal RNA". It matches the Rfam family "Bacterial large subunit ribosomal RNA", at positions 1854 to 2574 of the family's 2925-position model. Lineage: Eukaryota; Metazoa; Mollusca; Gastropoda; Architaenioglossa; Viviparidae. The record is from RNAcentral.